This 447-nucleotide ribosomal RNA is filed under the name uncultured bacterium. RNAcentral's name for it is "bacterial SSU rRNA". It matches the Rfam family "Bacterial small subunit ribosomal RNA", at positions 335 to 799 of the family's 1533-position model. The record is from RNAcentral.
ACUCCUACGGGAGGCAGCAGUGGGGAAUCUUAGACAAUGGGGGCAACCCUGAUCUAGCCAUGCCGCGUGAGUGAUGAAGGCCCUAGGGUUGUAAAGCUCUUUCAGCUGGGAAGAUAAUGACGGUACCAGCAGAAGAAGCCCCGGCUAACUCCGUGCCAGCAGCCGCGGUAAUACGGAGGGGCUAGCGUUGUUCGGAAUUACUGGGCGUAAAGCGCACGUAGGCGGAUUGGAAAGUUAGAGGUGAAAUCCCAGGGCUCAACCUUGGAACUGCCUUUAAAACUCCCAGUCUUGAGUUCGAGAGAGGUGAGUGGAAUUCCGAGUGUAGAGGUGAAAUUCGUAGAUAUUCGGAGGAACACCAGUGGCGAAGGCGGCUCACUGGCUCGAUACUGACGCUGAGGUGCGAAAGCGUGGGGAGCAAACAGGAUUAGAUAUCCUGGUAGGAUAGCG